CCACGGUCCAGCUAGUCAAGGGAUAUCUAUGAGUAUUCUAGCCCAAACACCACGUUUACGCUAGAGAUGAUUACUCUAAACUCUACGCGAAGAGAUCAAAGUAAACUCAUAAACCAAAGAACAAUAAAACAAAGAACUUACUAGAAUUUAGAAGUCGAAAUACUGAAGAAUCCUAGAAGCAAGCCUUGGGUUAGGAGAUCGUUCCUUGGAUGCUCUUCUUUGAUGGAUCUACAUGUGACCGGGGGGCAGGAAACGGUAUAGUGCUAAUUUCUCCUCGGGGAAAGUGUAACACCCAAAAAUUU
Molecule: long non-coding RNA, 302 nt
Filed under: Sorghum bicolor (sorghum)
Lineage: Eukaryota; Viridiplantae; Streptophyta; Magnoliopsida; Poales; Poaceae
Description: long non-coding RNA (SBIC_LNC010101)
Source: RNAcentral